Molecule: ribosomal RNA, 475 nt
Filed under: Triticum aestivum (bread wheat)
Lineage: Eukaryota; Viridiplantae; Streptophyta; Magnoliopsida; Poales; Poaceae
Description: partial small subunit ribosomal RNA
Source: RNAcentral
CCACAUGAUUUAUUUUAUUAAAAGACGUUUAAAAGACCGUUUAAGGUAAACCAUCACUCAUUAAUACCCACUCGUCCAGUCCAGUAGAACUUCGGCAGAGUUACGACGAGGAGAAACACCAACUUCGACAGACGUGACUUCGAGUUAACAAAAGGCCGGGGUACAUACGUAAUAAACCUUCGUGUAAGUUAGCGGCGUUGCUAGUGUUUGGGGUACGGAAGGAAUUACCACCAUCCAAGACUUCUGUAGUUUUCUCCGUUCUAGUUCAGUUACUACAGGAAGAACACCGACUUUAAUGAAACUAGGACGACAGAGAGACCACACCACAGGCGCGUCAAGGUCAGCUCGGUUUGUCUUGGUAAUAUAAAUCGGUUUGUCUUGGUAAUGUUUAUAACAGUCUUUCAUAAACCUCAGUCGAAGAUAACGAUGAGGUCAUAUAUAGGAAGAAAGAGACACCGGUAUCACUUCUAUGUCG